ACGGGUGAGUAAUACCUAGGAAUCUGCCUGAUAGUGGGGGACAACGUUUCGAAAGGAACGCUAAUACCGCAUACGUCCUACGGGAGAAAGCAGGGGACCUUCGGGCCUUGCGCUAUCAGAUGAGCCUAGGUCGGAUUAGCUAGUUGGUGAGGUAAUGGCUCACCAAGGCUACGAUCCGUAACUGGUCUGAGAGGAUGAUCAGUCACACUGGAACUGAGACACGGUCCAGACUCCUACGGGAGGCAGCAGUGGGGAAUAUUGGACAAUGGGCGAAAGCCUGAUCCAGCCAUGCCGCGUGUGUGAAGAAGGUCUUCGGAUUGUAAAGCACUUUAAGUUGGGAGGAAGGGCAGUAAGCGAAUACCUUGCUGUUUUGACGUUACCGACAGAAUAAGCACCGGCUAACUCUGUGCCAGCAGCCGCGGUAAUACAGAGGGUGCAAGCGUUAAUCGGAAUUACUGGGCGUAAAGCGCGCGUAGGUGGUUCGUUAAGUUGGAUGUGAAAUCCCCGGGCUCAACCUGGGAACUGCAUCCAAAACUGGCGAGCUAGAGUAGGGCAGAGGGUGGUGGAAUUUCCUGUGUAGCGGUG
RNAcentral lists this ribosomal RNA (585 nucleotides) under Pseudomonas sp. StFRB258. RNAcentral describes it as "bacterial SSU rRNA". It matches the Rfam family "Bacterial small subunit ribosomal RNA", at positions 102 to 683 of the family's 1533-position model. The record is from RNAcentral. Lineage: Bacteria; Pseudomonadati; Pseudomonadota; Gammaproteobacteria; Pseudomonadales; Pseudomonadaceae.